GGCUUAACACAUGCAAGUCGAGGGGCAGCAUGGUCUUAGCUUGCUAAAGUGCCGAUGGCGACCGGCGCACGGGUGAGUAACACGUAUCCAACCUGCCGUCUACUCUUGGACAGCCUUCUGAAAGGAAGAUUAAUACAAGAUGGCAUCAUGAGUCCGCAUGUUCACAUGAUUAAAGGUAUUCCGGUAGACGAUGGGGAUGCGUUCCAUUAGAUAGUAGGCGGGGUAACGGCCCACCUAGUCUUCGAUGGAUAGGGGUUCUGAGAGGAAGGUCCCCCACAUUGGAACUGAGACACGGUCCAAACUCCUACGGGAGGCAGCAGUGGGGAAUAUUGGUCAAUGGGCGAGAGCCUGAACCAGCCAAGUAGCGUGAAGGAUGACUGCCCUAUGGGUUGUAAACUUCUUUUAUAAAGGAAUAAAGUCGGGUAUGGAUACCCGUUUGCAUGUACUUUAUGAAUAAGGAUCGGCUAACUCCGUGCCAGCAGCCGCGGUAAUACGGAGGAUCCGAGCGUUAUCCGGAUUUAUUGGGUUUAAAGGGAGCGUAGAUGGAUGUUUAAGUCAGUUGUGAAAGUUUGCGGCUCAACCGUAAAAUUGCAGUUGAUACUGGAUAUCUUGAGUGCAGUUGAGGCAGGCGGAAUUCGUGGUGUAGCGGUGAAUGCUUAGAUAUCACGAAGACUCCGAUUGCGAAGGCAGCCUGCUAAGCUGCAAC
Molecule: ribosomal RNA, 706 nt
Filed under: uncultured Bacteroidales bacterium
Lineage: Bacteria; Pseudomonadati; Bacteroidota; Bacteroidia; Bacteroidales
Description: bacterial SSU rRNA
Rfam family: Bacterial small subunit ribosomal RNA
Source: RNAcentral